This is a long non-coding RNA of Nilaparvata lugens (brown planthopper), 651 nucleotides long. RefSeq lists it as uncharacterized. Lineage: Eukaryota; Metazoa; Arthropoda; Insecta; Hemiptera; Delphacidae. The record is from RefSeq and is a predicted model, not a curated record. The transcript has 5 exons.
UCCAGAUUGAGUUUCUAUCUGUUGUUUUUCCUGUUUCCUGUGUUCUUCAUUUUUGUCUUCGUUCCUCUUCGUUACUGUGUCUGCUCCUGAGUCUACAGUGUCAGUGCAGCGAAGAAGCGAGUCCAAACAGCAGUGAAAUAACAAGAGCUUGCAUAGAUGAGGAAAUAUCAUCAGAUAAUCUUUACUUCCAUUGAGAGAGAUGGUCAAUUUCCAGUCAGAAUGGGAGGAGAAAAUCGUUUAUAAAGCAUAUGAGGACAGUGGGGAGCGCUAAUAUUGGCCAAUGUGUCAAUAAUAUCUUGAGAAGAUUAAUGAUUGAUGAGCUGGCCAUGAAAUUCUCAUAUACUGGCCGUGCAUCAAACGGGAACACAAAAACUCCAUUUCAUGGGAGUGAGAUAUCGAAAUGCAUACUGAUUGCUGUUCAAACGUUUUUCCGGUGACAUUGCAAUUGAAGUGAAAUAUGGAUCGUUGGCGUCGAAAUGGUUUCAACAAGCCAGAACAAGGUUGUUGAGAAGGACCAAGAGCAGAGAGACUACACCUCAUGAAGCUCAAAUCGAGGACGAUAGCAGUUCAAAGUAAAAAUAUAUAAUAAGUUAUAAAUUAAAAGUUCAAUUUUUGUAAUAUUUAAUAAAAAUCAUUGCAUUUUAUUGAAAA